This 88-nucleotide ribosomal RNA is filed under the name Mesobacillus stamsii. The record is from RNAcentral. Lineage: Bacteria; Bacillati; Bacillota; Bacilli; Caryophanales; Bacillaceae.
CCGUUCCCAUACCGAACACGGAAGUUAAGCUUCUCAGCGCCGAUGGUAGUUGGGGGUUUCCCCCUGUGAGAGUAGGACGCCGCCGGGC